AAAUUGAAGAGUUUGAUCAUGGCUCAGAUUGAACGCUGGCGGCAGGCCUAACACAUGCAAGUCGAACGGUAACAGGAAUCAGCUUGCUGAUUCGCUGACGAGUGGCGGACGGGUGAGUAAUGUCUGGGAAACUGCCUGAUGGAGGGGGAUAACUACUGGAAACGGUAGCUAAUACCGCAUAAUGUCGCAAGACCAAAGAGGGGGACCUUAGGGCCUCUU
This 219-nucleotide ribosomal RNA is filed under the name Shigella dysenteriae. Its description in RNAcentral is "partial 16S ribosomal RNA". It matches the Rfam family "Bacterial small subunit ribosomal RNA", at positions 1 to 218 of the family's 1533-position model. The record is from RNAcentral. Lineage: Bacteria; Pseudomonadati; Pseudomonadota; Gammaproteobacteria; Enterobacterales; Enterobacteriaceae.